CCCGGGUGUGGUGGGGUACACGUGUAGUCUCAGCUACUCGGGAGGCCGAGGCAGGAGGAUUGUGUGAGUCCAGGAGUUCUGAGGAUAUACUGGGCUAUGUCAGUCAGGUGUCUGCACUAAGUUUGGCAUUGACAUGGUGACCUCCUGGGAGCAGGGGACCACCAGGUUGCCUCAGGAGGGGUGAACUGGACCAGUUUGGAAAGAGAGCAGGUCAAAACUCCUGUGCCAGUCAGUAGUGGGAUCACACCUGUGAAUAGCCACUAGACAUCAGCCUGGGCAACAUAGUGAGACCCUGCCUCUA
Unclassified non-coding RNA from Pongo abelii (Sumatran orangutan), 301 nucleotides. It matches the Rfam family "Metazoan signal recognition particle RNA". Rfam says of the family: The signal recognition particle (SRP) is a universally conserved ribonucleoprotein. It is involved in the co-translational targeting of proteins to membranes. The eukaryotic SRP consists of a 300-nucleotide 7S RNA and six proteins: SRPs 72, 68, 54, 19, 14, and 9. NCBI's taxonomy places the organism in Eukaryota, Metazoa, Chordata, Mammalia, Primates, Hominidae. The record is from Ensembl.